Molecule: ribosomal RNA, 332 nt
Filed under: uncultured bacterium
Lineage: Bacteria
Description: bacterial SSU rRNA
Rfam family: Bacterial small subunit ribosomal RNA
Source: RNAcentral
CGUGUAGGCGGUCUGAUUAGUCUGAUGUGAAAGCCCUGGGCUCAACCCAGGAAGUGCAUUGGAUACUGUCAGACUUGAAUACGGGAGAGGGUAGUGGAAUUCCUAGUGUAGGAGUGAAAUCCGUAGGUAUUAGGAGGAACACCGGUGGCGAAGGCGGCUACCUGGACCGAUAUUGACGCUGAGACGCGAAAGCGUGGGUAGCAAACAGGAUUAGAUACCCUGGUAGUCCACGCCGUAAACGGUGAGUACUAGGUGUUGCGGGUAUUGACCCCUGCAGUGCCGCAGCUAACGCAUUAAGUACUCCGCCUGGGAAGUACGGUCGCAAGACUAAA